RNAcentral lists this ribosomal RNA (465 nucleotides) under Vreelandella stevensii. RNAcentral describes it as "partial 16S ribosomal RNA". It matches the Rfam family "Bacterial small subunit ribosomal RNA", at positions 338 to 795 of the family's 1533-position model. Lineage: Bacteria; Pseudomonadati; Pseudomonadota; Gammaproteobacteria; Oceanospirillales; Halomonadaceae. The record is from RNAcentral.
CCUACGGGGGGCAGCAGUGGGGAAUAUUGGACAAUGGGGGGAACCCUGAUCCAGCCAUGCCGCGUGUGUGAAGAAGGCCCUCGGGUUGUAAAGCACUUUCAGUGAGGAAGAACGCCUGGUGGUUAAUACCCAUCAGGAAAGACAUCACUCACAGAAGAAGCACCGGCUAACUCCGUGCCAGCAGCCGCGGUAAUACGGAGGGUGCGAGCGUUAAUCGGAAUUACUGGGCGUAAAGCGCGCGUAGGUGGCUUGAUAAGCCGGUUGUGAAAGCCCCGGGCUCAACCUGGGAACGGCAUCCGGAACUGUCAAGCUAGAGUGCAGGAGAGGAAGGUAGAAUUCCCGGUGUAGCGGUGAAAUGCGUAGAGCCCGGGAGGAAUACCAGUGGCGAAGGCGGCCUUCUGGACUGACACUGACACUGAGGUGCGAAAGCGUGGGUAGCAAACAGGAUUAGAUACCCCGGUAGUC